CAUUUGCCUUAUAAUUGAAGGCUAGUAUGAAUGGUUUGACAAGAAUAUAACUGUCUCUUUUAGAUUUUAUAGAAUUUUAUUUAAAGGUGAAGAAGCCUUUAUUAAAUUAAAAGACGAGAAGACCCUAUCGAGCUUGAAAAUAGUAAAAGGACUAAWAAAUUAAUAAAACUAGAAAAUUUGCCAUUAAUAAUUUUAGUUGGGGCGACUGAGGAACAUAAAAAGCUUCCUUUAAAAAUUUAAAUAUUUACGAAUAUUGAUCCAAAAAUUUUUGAUUAAAGAAAUUAGUUACCGUAGGGAUAACAGCAUUAUCUCUUUUAAGAGUUCUUAUCGAAAAGGGGGUUUGUGACCUCGAUGUUGGACCAGAAUGUCCUGAAGAUGCAGCAGUCUUUAAGGGUUGGUCUGUUCGACCAUUAAAAUUCUACG
Molecule: ribosomal RNA, 423 nt
Filed under: Amiantofusus pacificus
Lineage: Eukaryota; Metazoa; Mollusca; Gastropoda; Neogastropoda; Fasciolariidae
Description: partial 16S ribosomal RNA
Rfam family: Bacterial large subunit ribosomal RNA
Source: RNAcentral